This is a long non-coding RNA of Coffea arabica (coffee), 731 nucleotides long. RefSeq lists it as uncharacterized. NCBI's taxonomy places the organism in Eukaryota, Viridiplantae, Streptophyta, Magnoliopsida, Gentianales, Rubiaceae. The record is from RefSeq and is a predicted model, not a curated record.
UCAACCAAUUCUAACCACAAACACCUCUCAAAAACCACGGCACCAUCUUCAUUUCCUUUCCACUUCACAUCUCAAACCACAACUGCAUUUCAUUCUGCCUUGCUAGUGUCGACAAACCGAGAGAGCGAGAGAGAGGCCGAGCUGCACUCUGCAGCCGAGUGGAAGAAAAGAAACCGCAGGAUUGAAUGUUUUUGGUUCUGGCCGUGAGUUGGAGUGAAGCCAGGGAGAGCAAGUGGAAGUCGGAGGAGCUACUGAUCAUCACCAUUUUCGUUCACUUCAGACCAACAUUUCCCAGCUGCAACCAUCUUCACCACAACACCAUUUCCAGCUGCAAAUCGAACCAGGACCAACCAGUGUGCGUGAGAGCCGAGAGGGAGCAGAAAUUUUCCAGAUUUUCUUGCGUGAGCUUAGCUUGCUGUGAGGCGCACGCAAGGACCUUUAAGAGGAUCCGACAGAGGACGCUUGAACUUCAAAUUGAACCUAUUGCCCUUGUUUGACUAGGUUCUGACAACUGAGGAAGACUUGAGAUCUACUUGUACUUUAAGCAUGUAGUUUGAAUUAAACAAUGUAGCUUUUGUUUCGGGUCGCCACAGGUGGCUGGAAAAGUGUAACCCUUGAAUUUGUAUGUGGCUUGUAUGAAAUUUGUUACUUGGCUUAUAAGGAUGUAUUUGAGUUAUAUGUUUUGUUUCUUGGGUUGUAAUCGGGAAGGUAUUUUAAGAAUCGACGUUAGC